This 254-nucleotide ribosomal RNA is filed under the name uncultured bacterium. RNAcentral's name for it is "partial 16S ribosomal RNA". It matches the Rfam family "Bacterial small subunit ribosomal RNA", at positions 524 to 776 of the family's 1533-position model. The record is from RNAcentral.
GACAGAGGGUGCAAACGUUGCUCGGAAUCACUGGGCGUAAAGGGCGCGUAGGCGGUCGUGACAAGUCACUUGUGAAAUCUCCGGGCUUAACUCGGAACGGUCAAGUGAUACUGUCGGACUAGAGUACAGAAGGGGCAACUGGAAUUCUCGGUGUAGCGGUGAAAUGCGUAGAUAUCGAGAGGAACACCUGCGGCGAAGGCGGGUUGCUGGGCUGAUACUGACGCUGAGGAGCGAAAGCAUGGGUAGCGAACAGG